AACGAACGCUGGCGGCAUGCCUAACACAUGCAAGUCGAACGAAGGCUUCGGCCUUAGUGGCGCACGGGUGCGUAACGCGUGGGAAUCUGCCCUUUGCUUCGGAAUAACAGUUAGAAAUGACUGCUAAUACCGGAUGAUGUCGCAAGACCAAAGAUUUAUCGGCAAAGGAUGAGCCCGCGUAGGAUUAGCUAGUUGGUGGGGUAAAGGCCUACCAAGGCGACGAUCCUUAGCUGGUCUGAGAGGAUGAUCAGCCACACUGGGACUGAGACACGGCCCAGACUCCUACGGGAGGCAGCAGUGGGGAAUAUUGGACAAUGGGCGGAAGCCUGAUCCAGCAAUGCCGCGUGAGUGAUGAAGGCCUUAGGGUUGUAAAGCUCUUUUACCCGGGAUGAUAAUGACAGUACCGGGAGAAUAAGCUCCGGCUAACUCCGUG
RNAcentral lists this ribosomal RNA (433 nucleotides) under uncultured bacterium. Its description in RNAcentral is "partial 16S ribosomal RNA". It matches the Rfam family "Bacterial small subunit ribosomal RNA", at positions 29 to 507 of the family's 1533-position model. The record is from RNAcentral.